GGCCGCAGAAUUUUAACUGUGCAAAGGUAGCAUAAUCACUAGUUUUUUAAUUGGAAGCUUGAAUGAAUGGUUGGACGAGGUAUUAGCUGUUUCAUAUUAAAAUUUAGAAUUUUAUUUUUAGGUUAAAAAGCCUAAAUUUUUUUGAAAGACGAGAAGACCCUAUAGAUUUUUAUAGUUUAGUUAUUCUAAUUAUUAAGAUUUAUUUAAUUAUUAUAUUUUGAACUAUUGUGUUGGGGUGACAUAGAGAUUUAUUUAACUUUCUAUAUUUUUUAUACAUUUAUUUAUGGUUAUAUAUAUAUGAUUUGAUCCUUAUUUUUAGAUUAGAAAAUUAAGUUACCUUAGGGAUAACAGCGUAAUUUUUUCGGAGAGUUCUUAUCGAUGAAAAAGAUUGCGACCUCGAUGUUGGAUUAA
This 411-nucleotide ribosomal RNA is filed under the name Polysarca neptis. Its description in RNAcentral is "partial large subunit ribosomal RNA". It matches the Rfam family "Bacterial large subunit ribosomal RNA", at positions 1929 to 2540 of the family's 2925-position model. The record is from RNAcentral. Lineage: Eukaryota; Metazoa; Arthropoda; Insecta; Diptera; Asilidae.